RNAcentral lists this ribosomal RNA (4371 nucleotides) under Euprymna berryi. RNAcentral's name for it is "partial 28S ribosomal RNA". It matches the Rfam family "Eukaryotic large subunit ribosomal RNA", at positions 1 to 2334 of the family's 3401-position model. Lineage: Eukaryota; Metazoa; Mollusca; Cephalopoda; Sepiida; Sepiolidae. The record is from RNAcentral.
GCCCGUCUCGCUCUCUGUCUUGUAAAGGGUGUCCACCGCGACGCCUGCGAGCAGCGCGACGAGCACGGCCCGUCUCACCGUAAAAGGGCGGCCGCGUCAAGGCGGGUCGGAUUGGAUUCCGCUCUCUUUCUUUUCUCUUUUCUUUCGGUCGGACGGGCGCGACAUCGGCCAGCCGACCACCCCGCAGGCCGAUCGAGAUUCCUUCUCGUCCGAAACCCACCCCACUAAAAGACGACACCCAUACCGCCGCCCUCGGCUCGGACGAGACGACCCGCUGAACUUAAGCAUAUCGCUAAGCGGAGGAAAAGAAACCAACCGGGAUUCCCUUAGUAACGGCGAGUGAACCGGGAGAAGCCCAACGCCGAAUCCCGUCGCAAGUAAACGGCUUCGGGACGUGUGGCGCAUGGGUCGAAGGCAGCCGUUCGUUUUCGUCUCGCGUAGUUCGGAGUUCCCUCGAUCGGGGCCGCCCGCGGCGGGUGCCAGGCCCAUUCGGUGCGGACGGCGAGCGACGGCCUUCGAUCCGAGAGUCGGGUUGCUUGGGAACGCAGCCCAAAUCGGGUGGUAAGCUCCAUCCAAGGCUAAAUACCGGGACGAGUCCGAUAGUCGACAAGUACCGUGAGGGAAAGUUGAAAAGAACUUUGGAGAGAGAGUUCAAGAGAACGUGAAACCGCCCAGGGGUAAACGGGUGGGACCGCUCACCGCGAUCGCGGGGGGACUCAGUCCGGUGCUGCCUAGGCUCGAGCCCAAACUCGAUGUGUUCUUGAAAGAGAGGCCGUCGCGGACGGUCGUCGUCGCGUCCGCGGGGACUCGUUCUCCGCGGGCCAGCUUUUGUGCCCGCGUCGCCGACGAAGGAGACGGGCCGCGUGGAUAGCGGGAAGGGAAACGCGGUGACGACCGCGGCGGUGGCGUCGGUGGCUGCGACGGAGGGGACUCGUCCUCUCGAUCGCUGCUGCCGCGCCCGCCUGCCGCAUCCGUCGCCGCCGCUUCUUCUUUCCUCCCGCUCCCUCCGCGCGCGACUCCGCUGCACCCGUCCCCUUCUCACCGCUCGGCGAUCAUGGCGCGGGCGCUUCGGCGCGACCUCCGCGCGGCCGGCACCGGACGCACUUCCCCUCCGGUCCGUCGUCGCGACCCGUUCCCGGCGUGCAGGUCGUACACGCGGGUUUUUCCGUAGGCGGCAGGCGUUUCAUCUCCCUGAAAACCCCCGUUUUCCGCUCGCGGUCUGCGGGGGCCACCGGCCGUCGGGUCCCGCGAACGUAACUGCCCCCUUCUGCCGGGGACGGAGGAAAUCUGACGCGAUCCGUUACACGUGGCGAAGCCGGUCCGUCUCUAAUCCCGUCGGAAGUCGCUCCCCUCGGCGCCCCACCGUCUCGGGCGCGCGAGCGAUGAGAGGCGGGAGAGGAUCGGCGCGGCCUCGCCGUCACGCACCUCGCCGACGUUUCGGGCCUCGUCGGGGGCAACCCCGCCCGCGCCCGUUCCGUUUCCGGAGAGGUCGCUCGGCGACGCUUUUUUUCCAAGCCGCCCGCCACCCCGGGUCAGCGACGUGCAUCGGCAACCCACCCGACCCGUCUUGAAACACGGACCGAGGAGUCCUGGCCGUUCGCGAGUCGUAGGGGCCCCCUCUGACUAACCCCGAAGGCGUAGCGAAAGCGAGAGAGCGUCGUAAGGAGGGCGUCGAUCGGGAGAGGUGUCGUGGCGAAGUCGUCCGGGGGUCGUCGGGGGGGUCGUCGGUCUCGUGCCGUCGUCUUCUCUCGCCUCACCCGCCUCCGAGCCGUGCCCGAUCCCGCCGGCGCGGCGUCCGGCCUUCCGCCGUCGCUGUCGCGGGUUCCGCACUUUUCCUCUUCGCGAGGAGAAGGAAGGCCCGCGGCUGGCGUGCGGUCGCGUUUUUUCCCUCCUCCCCGAGAGGGGACCGGUGCCCUAUCAGGGAAACGCCUGGCGCCAGCUUCCCAUCCUCCUUCCGCCCAUCGGUGAGAUCCCGCGGCUUGAACUAGUCCUAUUUUGUCGUCGAGUUUAGGCGCUGCGCGCGGGCGCAUCACCCCCGGGUCGGUUCCCCUUUUCCGAGUACGACUCGGCCGACUCUGGCGUAGCGAGCGACCAGGGACCCGAAAGAUGGCGAUCCACGCCCGGUCGGGAUGAAGCCAGAGGAAACUCUGGUGGAAGUCCGAAGCGCCUCUGACGUGCAAAUCGAUCGUCGGAACCGGGUGUAGGGGCGAAAGACCAAUCGAGCCGUCUAGUAGCUGGUUCCCUCCGAAGUUUCCCUCAGGAUAGCUGGCGCUCGAUCGUCGCAAUUCCAUCCGGUAAAGCGAACGAUUGGAGGCCCCGGGGCCGUUCACGGCCUCGACCUACUCUCGAACUCGGAACGGGUGGAACGGGCCGACUCUCCCGAACGACGGAGCCGACCCCCGACCGCCAUUUUUUUUUGGCGGUGACCUCGAAUGCGAGUGCCAAGUGGGCCACUUUUGGUAAGCAGAACUGGCGCUGUGGGAUGAACCAAACGUCCGGCUAAGGUGCCUAACGCGACGCCCAUGAGAUCCCCGAAAGGGUGUCGGUCGAUAUAGACAGCAGGACGGUGGCCACGGAAGUCGGAAUCCGCUAAGGAGUGUGUAACAACUCACCUGCCGAAUCGACCGGCCCCGAAAAUGGAUGGCGCUGGAGCGACGGACCGAUGCCGGACCGUCGCGGCGAGGAGCGAUGAACUUUCGCGCCGAAACGAUGCCGCGACGAGUAGGAGGGCGCCGCGGCGAGCACGGAAGCCUAGGGCGCGAGCCCGGGUGGAGCCGACCGCGGGUGCAGAUCUCGGUGGUAGUAGCAAAUAUUCGAACGAGACCUUCGAAGACCGAAGUGGAGAAGGGUUCCGUGCCAACGGCGGUCGAGCACGGGUCAGUCGGUCCUAAGACGCGGGCGAAAGUCUUCCCGAAAGGCGCCGGAUCCGUUAUCAUAUCGUUCGUUCGCGAAAGAAAAAACAGCGGCCGGCCUCCCGUCGAAAGGGAAUCGGGUUAAUAUUCCCGAACCCGGACUCGGAGAGGGCCCGGGGGUGGCGACGCCGUCGGCAGCGAUGUCGGCGGCGCCCGUCGCUUCCCGGGCGAAACCGCGGUGACGCAAGCGAGCCCGGAGACGUCGCCGGGAGCCCCGGGAAGAGUUCUCUCUUCUUCGUAAAGGACCAUGUCCGUGGAAUCGGCUCGUCCGGAGAUACGGAAAAGGUACCUGUAGAGCGCCGCGGCUCGGGCGGCGUCCGGUGCGCUUUCGGCGGCCCUGGAAAAUCCGGGUCCGGUUUUCGCAGCUCUCGAGUCGGUCCGUACCCACCAUCCGCAGCAGGUCUCCAAGGUGUACAGCCUCUCGUCGAUGGCAUCAAUGUAGGUAAGGGAAGUCGGCAAAAUGGAUCCGUACCUUCGGAAGAAGGAUUGGCUCCGAGGACCGGGUCGGUCGGGCCGUGCCCGCGCGAAGCGAGGAACCGGUACGGGGCUGUAGCGUUCGCUCCGUUCGCGCUUUGCGGCGACGGCAUAGGGGCCGCGGCGGUCCGUCGUGCGGCGGCGUCCGGUGCGGUCGCGGUCAAGCGAGCGGGGGGGAGAGCGAUACGGGUGGGAGUUCCGCCGUCGGGCGGCAGGAGUGCGGCGUCGACCAAAAACGGCGGGGGACCGUCGGCGGGGUCGUCUUUCUGGCGGCGGCGGUCAAGCGGCGCGGUUCGCGGGUGCUUCGCUCCGGGGUCGGGGUGGCGGCGGGCGGUCCUCGCGGCCCGUUCGUCGCACGUCUCCGUCCUCCUCGAAAAGGGGUGAGGCGCUUUUGUCGGCCGCGUCGUCGUCGCUUUGCCGGUGCGUCCCGUCGGCACCCCCGACGCGGCGUCCUCCGCUCCUGCGCUGUCCGCGCGGGUCGCUCCCUCUCUUCUCCUCCUCAUAACUCGUCGCGGCCGGUCAAACGCCGGCGCGUCGUCGCCGCGGGACACAUCCGCCUGCGGUACCGCCUCGUCGCUACCGGCGCGUCGGGUGGCGAGCAAAACGGCUCCUCGCCCGGGUCUUCGUGGAGCGCCACGGCUUCCAGCCCCUCUUCGGGUGAAGGCGGGUGCUGCCUCACCGCAGCGUCCGUCCCUCUUCGCCCGUUGCUCAGCGUCUCUCUCGGCGUGGGGGCGUUCGUCCGGCAGCGAACGGUCAACUCGGAACUGGUACGGACCGGGGGAAUCCGACUGUCUAAUUAAAACAAAGCAUCGUGUGGCCGGUCGACCCGUACAGACACGAUGUGAUUUCUGCCCAGUGCUCUGAAUGUCAAAGUGAAGAAAUUCAACCAAGCGCGGGUAAACGGCGGGAGUAACUAUGACUCUCUUAAGGUAGCCAAAUGCCUCGUCAUCUAAUUAGUGACGCGCAUGAACGGAUCAACGAGAUU